RNAcentral lists this ribosomal RNA (248 nucleotides) under uncultured bacterium. RNAcentral's name for it is "partial 16S ribosomal RNA". It matches the Rfam family "Bacterial small subunit ribosomal RNA", at positions 114 to 354 of the family's 1533-position model. The record is from RNAcentral.
AACGUAGGUAACCUGCCCCGGAGCGGGGGAGUAACAUUUGGAAACAGAUGCUAAUACCGCAUAACAAUAAAAGCCGCAUGGCUUUUAUUUGAAAGAUGGCUUUGGCUAUCACUCUGGGAUGGACCUGCGGUGCAUUAGCUAGUUGGUAAGGUAACGGCUUACCAAGGCGAUGAUGCAUAGCCGAGUUGAGAGACUGGUCGGCCACAAUGGAACUGAGACACGGUCCAUACUCCUACGGGAGGCAGCAG